RNAcentral lists this ribosomal RNA (497 nucleotides) under uncultured bacterium. RNAcentral's name for it is "partial 16S ribosomal RNA". It matches the Rfam family "Bacterial small subunit ribosomal RNA", at positions 28 to 523 of the family's 1533-position model. The record is from RNAcentral.
GAUGAACGCUGGCGGCGUGCUUAACACAUGCAAGUCGAACGAAGCACCUUAUUCUGAUUUCUUCGGAAUGAAAAAUUUGGUGACUGAGUGGCGGACGGGUGAGUAACGCGUGGGUAACCUGCCUCAUACAGGGGGAUAACAGUUAGAAAUGACUGCUAAUACCGCAUAAGACCACAGCACCGCAUGGUGCAGGGGUAAAAACUCCGGUGGUAUGAGAUGGACCCGCGUCUGAUUAGGUGGUUGGUGGGGUAACGGCCUACCAAGCCGACGAUCAGUAGCCGACCUGAGAGGGUGACCGGCCACAUUGGGACUGAGACACGGCCCAAACUCCUACGGGAGGCAGCAGUGGGGAAUAUUGCACAAUGGGGGGAACCUUGAUGCAGCGACGCCGCGUGAGCGAUGAAGUAUUUCGGUAUGUAAAGCUCUAUCAGCAGGGAAGAAAAUGACGGUACCUGACUAAGAAGCACCGGCUAAAUACGUGCCAGCAGCCGCCGUAA